CUUAAGGCCAUUCCGUACAGGGCGCAUACCCUCUUGUACACUAGGUCAAGUAUCGGGUUGGCUCAUUUUUUUUCUAUGUUUCCAUAUUAGGUAUUCUAUGUUUUUUUUUUCUUUUUUUUCUUUUUGAUGAAAUGGGUGACCCUUUUUCAAUAGAGAUGUUUUUUUUUUCAAAAUUGAUGAUUUUUUUUAAAUCGAUGAACUUUUUUUCCAGGGCAAUGAUUCUUUUUACAAAACUAGCACAUAUGCCCAUGCUUCGCUACGGAGGAAACAUGAUUGCUAAGAACCAGGUGGUAAUCUCUACUCCUAAUGUCUCAGUUGGUAGUCUCCAUUCCGGGUUUAUUUUCGUCCCACCAUUUUCGUCCGGUUUUUUCGCUGGUUUUUUUCGUCGGUUUUCUCGUCCCUUCCCCGCACAGCCAGCGAGGCUCCCCUCGAUCUAUGUAUUCUAUCCUACGAUCUCUCAAAGACGCCCCAGCCCCCAAUACGAGCCGCCGCCAAGAUCCAAGACGAGCCGCCGCCGAGAUACGAGUCGAUCCGCCGCCGCCGAGGACCAAGUGGAGCCGCCGCUGGCCAGGCUCCCCACGAUGUGCGCGCCGGGGCGCCGCUCCCGCUCCCGCAGCCGAGCAUAGCAGCGGCGGCGGAGCCCCGCCACCGGCGAGCUCUCUCUGGCGGAGGAGGGCGGGGGCGAGCUCGCCGUCUCCCUCGCGCUCAACAAUCUCUUCUCCCACGCCGUCGCCCGCUUCACGGCCUACUUCGGUCUCAUGCCGCCAUGCCUCCACUGCUCCCGCAUCGACCGGCUCUUCGGCGCGGAGGGCGUCCAUCAGGCGGCGGGCGAGAUCUCCGGGAUGGGCCACUGCCUCCACCAUCACCGCCUCUUCGUUGCCGCCGCCCCCGACAUGUGCGAGGGAUGCCUCUCUUCUUCAAAGAACGAGAUGAAUGAAGGAUGCAGAGGAGACAGGCUCCAUGGCGUGUUCCUGCUGUAAAGCUCUCGACCUCUCGUACAGGGCACACCUCCGAGCUAGCCGAUGCUUAGUAUACCAGUGUUCUGCUGCAUCCGGUGCGACCUCAAAGAAUACCUUCGUCUAGCUGACCGUUGAGCACCUUAGGGACGACGAGAUGCAGUGCCUGGGGUGUAAGCAGUUCAACUACACGAUGAAGUGAGUGAAGGGGUUAAGACGGUUGUGUUGUGCGUGCGCUGCUUGCUUGCUGUCAACUUGUUGGACAACUGUACACGUAUGUGUUUUUUCAAGCCCACUGAUUUCAGCCUCUCCGUCUCCUUCAAGCCGAUGAGAAGUUCAGGGAUAUUCCUGGGAGUGCCUAUUAUGUGGCUCCGGAGGUGCUGAAGCGGAGAUAUGGAGCCGAUAAUUGCAUAUGGAGUGCUGGAGUUAUACUCUACAUUCUGCUGUCUGGCAUUCCUCCUUUUUGGGCAGCAGGGCAGGUGCGUUCUCUGGCUGGUUAUGUCAAUCAAUUUUGGGGCUGUGAUGGAUGCAAAGACUGGAAGAUCCUCCUGUGAAGCAUAAAUUUCAUUGUAUCCAAGGAGAUAUCUAAUGCUGAAAACAUGAGACUCAAAAUGUAUAGAGAGUCGGAGACACUGCUAAACACUGUCAUUUAUGGGUGUCUACCAAAUUCACUAUCAACCACUGUUGUAGGACCGGCGGUUGGGAGGACGUAGACUAAGAGCUAUAUAUGAUGAUUCUACAAAAGAUAAUGUACUGGAAGACAUGAGAACUUUUAGGAUGCUACAGUGUAAAAAUAUUUGGAAGAUGGUAUGGUUUGCCGGACCGGAACCAAAGCAAGAACGAGAAGGAGCUUAAGUAGGGCCAUGUCGAGGUGUCGCCACAAUAGGAAAUUGUCGCUGGUGCUAGAUACCAGGGGAACCAAAAAAUCUUUUUUCUACAAAGGGUGGAAGAGCUUUUGAAUUUAGAUGGUAGUCGGAGGAGUGGGCCAGGUACUUAGCAAAAGGUUUAGCUGCUUUUUUAGAACAGAGAUGGAGCAUGGGUUACCUACAAGAUCCAACACAGAACGUGAAGUAGUGUGAUUAAGUCCAAGAAGGGGAAAAUGCUAGAGACGGACCAGCCAAAGGGUGAAUAUCUUGUGCUCUACAUACUUACCAAUGGCCGCAGUUAACAAUUUGGGCCUAAUAUUGGACAUGAACUUAAACAAUUUACAGUGUUUUUUAAGGCUGAUUGUUGCUAUGAAGAAUGGAAUGGCCAUGCUAUUGAUAGAGAACACUCUCGGAAGUUGGAUCUCUCUUUUUGUGCUAUUAUUGCUGAAAUUAAGAGGCUCAUUACAAGGAAUUGUCAGAUUUUGUGUACCUUGUAAUAGUGACACGCAUGGAGGUGUGAAUUGAGUGAUAUUGAUACUAUUUAGUAAUGGAUGGUAUAUGUUCUUUGGUGGCGAGCGAUUUUCUGGUUUAGGAUACACCAAGACCGCCAAGAAAGAAAGAAGCCGGAGAGAGUUUGAAUUUGUCGCUAUUUGAUGAAACCAGAUGCCAUCAUGCUUAACAACGUAUUUCUGAAUUAAAAUAACAAUUUGAUAAAUGUGUAUAUUUCUAUUAUUUCAUGGCAAUGCAUGGUCAUCUGGUGUUUGCCCGUAGCAACGCACGGGCAUUCUAUCACCGUCUACCAUUUUGCCCACAAGAAAAAUAUAAUUAUGUACUUGUUUUCUAUUUAUUGCAGAUAAUAUGCUUGGACUCACAAGUGCAUCUAAUGCUUCCAUAUGGAGGUUUUCAACAUCACAAAUUUCAUACUAAUGGAGUGGAGCUACCAAAAUAUCUAUUGAGGUAAAAUCACUAUAUACAUAUUGUUUUCCCCCAUUGCGUCAGGCGACACGCAUCUGUUGCAAAGAAAUAGGCAUCACCUGCGUGCUUGCUUUUGUUCGUUUCUAGCCGGCAAGAAUCCAUCGAGUCUUCCUCUAUGUGUGCAACCUUGCCAGCAUGGGAAUCAAUCAAGGUAGGGGCAGCCAACGUUAAGUAUGUGCAGUCUUGCCGGGAUCCAAUCUAUUAACUCCUUCAGCCAGCUUUGCACUAUGUGCACGACGUCCAUGCUCGAAAGCACUUUGCAAGUGGACCAUGCACGGCUCCACCGGCCUUGCGUCAACAAUUCAAAUCCUUAUCUUAUACUUCCUCUGUCUGAAAAAGCUUGUCCCAAGCUUGUCCCUUAAAUGGAUGUAUCUAGCACUAACUUGGUGCUAGAUACAUCCAUUUGAGGGACAAGCUUUUUCGGACGGAGGGAGUACUACUAGAUAGACACAUACUUUUUUUAUGCAAUUCUUAAUUUAUAGAAGCAGAAGAACUGAUUAUGUGAAUUGAAUAUAUAAUCCCAUGUGUAGGUGCUAUCCAAGUGUUGUGAUUAUUUAGCACACAUAACUUGCAGGGAGAUAACUCUAUAGUAUGAAGACUUUAAAAUACGAGUGCGUGUCGUUGGUGUUUUUGAAACCAUCUUCCAUCACGUCUAAUAUUUUUGUAUUUCAUAAUAGUAAUUGUUCAGCCUUUGACUGACAUAUGGAUGAUAUUUGUAAUAUAUAUCUUUCUUCCAUAUGACGGUAACAUUAUGAUGAAGGUGGAACCAUAGAGAGAUGUGUAUUUUUAAUUGAGAUAUUUUCAGGAGUACCUUUGUGAAGCUGGUAUAUCUUUCUUUUACAAGAUAUGGUUGCACUUGCUUCAUCUACAUAGGCUGUCUGGAAUGCCAUGAGGCCGGGAUUGGUGUAGGAAAUCUUCAAAGCUAUUAUAUUGGUCUCAAGAAACUUGCAAUACAUCAAUGCAUUAUGAUUCUCCAUGGUCAUGCUUCUCCUGUUCACCUGGAAGUUUAUUGAUGGGAGGGAAGCCACUUCUGCUUUGAUGAUUUCUUGGAAGUUCAGCUAGGUGAAUUUACAAUACAAGUCAGAUUAUUUGCGAGAGAAUUUCAUUCCCUAGAAUCAUUGUCAUUCUUGUUGCCUACAAGGUACUUGAAGAAAAUGCCCGAGACAUAUUUUAAGGAGUAUAAUUCAGCACUAAGGCUAUUAUUACAACGAUGGAAUCUUUGUUGUGGUAGUUAUGUCUCCAAAUGCGUCGAUCCCUAUCGGCUACUGAAGUAAACUUAUUUAUUUUUUCUGUGUCGAUUUCUAUUGGCUUACUGAUAGCUUAUUUAUUCUUUUCGAAUUUUAAUCCUUGAUCUUUGCCUCUGCCCAUCUCCAUAUCACACAGAAGGUGCUCAGUGUAAUGCAUCAUGCAGUGAUUCCAUGAUAGGAAUUAGGAACUGCUCAUCAUUUGAAUGUUUCUACAAUUUUCCUGCUUGUUAGAACAUGUUUGAUGUACUUACACAUUAACAAAAAUGACCUGUAAAUUCAUGAAAAUAUUUGGGUUUGGUCAUCUACUUUUUUACUGUUUAUUUACUCAUGAAGAUAGCAGAUGUUCCUGUUUUUAAAUAUAGUUAUUUGUGCUUCCAGUUGGUAGAGAUCAAAGUAUUAACUCGCCGAUGUAGGGAAAAAGAGCUCUUUUAUAGACACUACUAGUAGUGGAUACAGGGUGAGCCUUUUUGAAAUUGUUUCAUAGAAUAAGGCCCGUAUAAGGUCUGGUCUUUUGGGUAUACAAUCCUUUCUUGAGAUGAGCAUUGGCAGCUCACAUAUGUAUACAGUAGUAUAUUUGACAGAUGAUGAUGAUCAUUGGCAGCUCACAUAAGGGCAUCUCCAGCCGUUUGAGCCCCCUAGGACAAUCGCCGGACCAAAAAUGGCACGUCCUGGGGGGCAAAACUCUUCCGCCGGCGCCCCCAAGAAUCCGUAUCCCCAGCCGUUGGUGUCCUCAGAAGAAUUGCGGGGCAAAAAGUGA
Aegilops tauschii subsp. strangulata is the source of this 4801-nucleotide non-coding RNA. NCBI's taxonomy places the organism in Eukaryota, Viridiplantae, Streptophyta, Magnoliopsida, Poales, Poaceae. The record is from RefSeq and is a predicted model, not a curated record.